AUAUCCCGAAGGCGAUGGUUGUGCUUGCUUGUCUUGCGCUCUCACUGCUCUGACGGAUGCUUUUAUUAGACCAAACCGCUGAGGACUUGGGGGUUCGCUCUCUUGUCUGACUCGUUAUAUGGUGACUCUGGAUAACCAAAUUAUGACAAGCGCACGUACUUCUCUUCUGAGCGAGACGGCGCUGCCACUUUCGAGUGUCUGCCUUAUCAGCUAUCAACCGUUCGUUAUGCGCGACCGAUGGCUUUGACGGGUAACGGGGAAUCAGGGUUCGAUUCCGGAGAGGCAGCCUGAGAGACGGCUACCACGUCCAAGGACGGCAGCAGGCACGCAAAUUACCCAAUCCCAGCAAAUGGGGGAGGUAGUGACGAAAUCUAACGAUGCGGGCGCCCUUUCUGGGGCCCCGCAAUCGGAAUGGGCACUUUCUAAACAACCUGUUGAGAACCUACUGAAGGGCAAGUCUGGUGCCAGCAGCCGCGGUAAUUCCAGCUUCAGCAGCAUCUAUUAAAGUUGCUGCGGUUAAAAGGCUCGCAGUUGAAUGUCUGUAUCGAGCGCAGGUCAGGUGGACGUUGGGGCGUGGAAGUACGGGCAGUUGGAUGUUCGGAGGGCUUCGUGCUCAACGGCUCCUUCGGCUUUUCCACACACCCCCGUCCGUGACAAGCCUCCUCGCUCGGGUACAUAACGGGAAUCGGUCAAACGGAGUGUGGUCGGAGGUUGGGGUGCGUGACUUCGGUUGCGUGCUUCUUCUUUCGGCUGCGUCAAGCUCCAUCGGUUUCACGGUCACCUUGAGUAAAUCAGAGUGCUCAAAGCAGUCGUAGGGGCCUUGCGCCCUGUGAACAGUCUUGACGGACUGACUUGGUUUUGCAUGGCAUGUCGGAAGACGACGUCGUGUGCUGGCUCAGAGGAUAAAUCAGUGGUACAAGCCAGCCUCGACGUAAUGAUUAAAAGGGACGGUCGAGGGCAUUGGUAUUGCGAGGCGAGAGGUGAAAUUCUGUGACCCCCGCAAGACCUCCUGAAGCGAAAGCGUCUGCCAAGGACGUUUUCAUUAAUCAUGAACGAAAGUUAGAGGAUCGAAGGCGAUCAGAUACCGCCCUAGUUCUAACCCUAAACGAUGCCAACCAUCAAUCCGCGCGUAGCACCCUUCUUAACGGGCUCGGCGGGCAGCUCCCCACUCACGGGAAACCAGAGCCUCUGGGUUCCGGGGGGAGUCUGGUUGCAAAGCUGAAACUUAAAGGAAUUGACGGAAAGGCACCACCAGGCGUGGAGCCUGCGGCUUAAUUUGACUCAACACGGGCCAUCUCACCAGGCCAGCACUCUUGUACGAUUGACAGAUUGAGAGCUCUUUCUCGAUUCA
This 1351-nucleotide ribosomal RNA is filed under the name Gammarus lacustris. RNAcentral describes it as "bacterial SSU rRNA". It matches the Rfam family "Eukaryotic small subunit ribosomal RNA", at positions 174 to 1269 of the family's 1831-position model. Lineage: Eukaryota; Metazoa; Arthropoda; Malacostraca; Amphipoda; Gammaridae. The record is from RNAcentral.